UACGUAGGUGGCAAGCGAUACUCGGAAUCACUAGGCGUAAAGCGCAGGUAGGCGGUUUGAUAAGUCUGUUGUGAAAGCUCCCGGCUUAACUGGGAGAGGUCAACGGAAACUGUCAGGCUAGAGUGUGGUAGAGGUAGCUGGAAUUCCCGGUGUAGCGGUGAAAUGCGUAGAUAUCGGGAGGAAUACCAGUGGCGAAGGCGGCCUCCUGGAUCAACACUGACGCUGAGGUGCGAAAAGCGUGGGGAGCAAACAGG
RNAcentral lists this ribosomal RNA (254 nucleotides) under uncultured bacterium. RNAcentral describes it as "partial 16S ribosomal RNA". It matches the Rfam family "Bacterial small subunit ribosomal RNA", at positions 524 to 776 of the family's 1533-position model. The record is from RNAcentral.